UACGGAGGGUGCAAGCGUUAUCCGGAUUUACUGGGUUUAAAGGGUGCGUAGGCGGGCCUUUAAGUCAGUGGUGAAAUCCUCCGACUCAAUCGGAGAACUGCCAUUGAUACUAUUGGCCUUGAAUACAGUUGAGGUGGGCGGAAUGUGUCGUGUAGCGGUGAAAUGCUUAGAUAUGACACAGAACACCGAUUGCGAAGGCAGCUCGCUAAACUGUGAUUGACGCUGAGGCACGAAAGCGUGGGGAUCAAACAGG
This 253-nucleotide ribosomal RNA is filed under the name uncultured bacterium. RNAcentral's name for it is "partial 16S ribosomal RNA". It matches the Rfam family "Bacterial small subunit ribosomal RNA", at positions 524 to 776 of the family's 1533-position model. The record is from RNAcentral.